GACGAACGCUGGCGGCGCGCUUAACACAUGCAAGUCGAACGGAAAGGCCUGCUUUCCCUUGUGGAUUGCGGGUACUCGAGUGGCGAACGGGUGAGUAACACGUGAGUGAUCUGCCCCCAACUUGGGUAUAAGCCUGGGAAACUGGGUCUAAUUCCCGAUAGGACUGCAGGGUGGUGCCUGUGGUGGAAAACGAUUUUCUAGUGGUUGGGGAUGAGCUCGCGGCCUAUCAGCUUGUUGGUGGGGUAAUGGCCUACCAAGGCGGCGACGGGUAGCCGGCCUGAGAGGGUGGACGGCCACAUUGGGACUGAGAUACGGCCCAGUCUCCUACGGGAGGCAGCAGUGGGGAAUAUUGCACAAUGGGCGGAAGCCUGAUGCAGCGACGCCGCGUGGGGGAUGACGGCCUUCGGGUUGUAAACUCCUUUCGACCGCGAGGAAGCCACCUGGUUGGAAGGGUGGUGACGGUAGUGGUAGAAGAAGCACCGGCUAACUACGUG
RNAcentral lists this ribosomal RNA (494 nucleotides) under uncultured bacterium. Its description in RNAcentral is "partial 16S ribosomal RNA". It matches the Rfam family "Bacterial small subunit ribosomal RNA", at positions 28 to 507 of the family's 1533-position model. The record is from RNAcentral.